GUAGGUGACCUGCGGAAGG
Molecule: ribosomal RNA, 19 nt
Filed under: Ectophoma multirostrata
Lineage: Eukaryota; Fungi; Ascomycota; Dothideomycetes; Pleosporales; Didymellaceae
Description: partial 18S ribosomal RNA
Source: RNAcentral